GCAGCCGAGCUGACCAGGCGCGUGACGAGAGGUGGCGUCACCACGAGGACGACCACCAAGGGCGGGAAGAAGACCAAGACAAAGAAGGAAGGUGAGCUGACCAUGAUGAGAACCGGAAACACCCAAAAUAAGAAAGGUAAAGGAGCAAAAGGAGGCGCAAAAGGCAAAGGAGGU
This is a long non-coding RNA of Rhipicephalus sanguineus (brown dog tick), 174 nucleotides long. RefSeq lists it as uncharacterized. The transcript has 3 exons. Lineage: Eukaryota; Metazoa; Arthropoda; Arachnida; Ixodida; Ixodidae. The record is from RefSeq and is a predicted model, not a curated record.